CAGUGUGAGGAGUUCGGGCAUCUAGCCAGAGAUUGCUCUCAACUAAAAAAUUGGACGGAGGUUGCUGUAGCGAUAGUCGGCAGCGAUUCAGAUGGAGAUGUUUUGGAGAUAUCUGAUGAUAUAUCUACUUCUUCCCAACAGUGGAUAUUAAGUUCUGCAUGCACCCAUCAUGUAUGUUGCAGAGAGGAGCAGUUUGACUCCCUGAAGAACAGUGAGGGCACUGUAAAUCUGCCGGA
RNAcentral lists this long non-coding RNA (236 nucleotides) under Elaeis guineensis (African oil palm). RNAcentral's name for it is "long non-coding RNA (EGUI_LNC022182)". The record is from RNAcentral. Lineage: Eukaryota; Viridiplantae; Streptophyta; Magnoliopsida; Arecales; Arecaceae.